AGAGGCCAGGCAAAAUCGACCCUUUUAAAGUCUUUACUUCAUUCUCGUUACACGACAACGAGCAAAGAGGGGUAGUUGUAACAGGCCCAAUUUGCCUGGCCCGUUAUACUAAACCAAAAAAUAAUAAAUAAUAAAUUAGCCCAAAUGUCUAGGCCUAAAAUCCAGGCCCAAUUACAACAAGCCCUAAAAAAUAAAAAACCCUAGCCCAACUAAAAACAAAAGUAGAAACCCUAGCCCCCUUUCAGCAGUCGCCGUCGCCGCACCUUUCCCACGCGCGCCGCCACGUGCC
This 289-nucleotide long non-coding RNA is filed under the name Gossypium raimondii (Peruvian cotton). RNAcentral describes it as "long non-coding RNA (GRAI_LNC008889)". The record is from RNAcentral. Lineage: Eukaryota; Viridiplantae; Streptophyta; Magnoliopsida; Malvales; Malvaceae.